This 146-nucleotide small nucleolar RNA is filed under the name Ochotona princeps (American pika). RNAcentral describes it as "Small nucleolar RNA SNORA74 (ENSOPRG00000023318.1)". The record is from RNAcentral. Lineage: Eukaryota; Metazoa; Chordata; Mammalia; Lagomorpha; Ochotonidae.
UCCAGCUGUAGGCGACUGCCUACGGUUGCUUUGUACCUAGGCAAGUGUUACACUGCUGGGAGAAAAACAAGCAAUAGUUGAUGGGCAUUCUGGGUGUGGUUGAUGCCAAAGCUAUGUUAAUUAUAGCAGUAUGCAGCAUGGUCAUU